CAUAUCACUUUGAAACACAGGUUUCCAUACGAUCAUCGAGGUUAAGCAACGUCAAGCCUAUUCAGUACCUAGAUGGGUGAGCACUUUCGAAUACCAGGUGCU
This is a non-coding RNA of Acanthosepion pharaonis, 102 nucleotides long. Lineage: Eukaryota; Metazoa; Mollusca; Cephalopoda; Sepiida; Sepiidae. The record is from the annotation of a GenBank genome assembly.